This 196-nucleotide unclassified non-coding RNA is filed under the name plant metagenome. Its description in RNAcentral is "partial contains small subunit ribosomal RNA and internal transcribed spacer 1". The stretch from base 1 to 46 matches the Rfam family "Eukaryotic small subunit ribosomal RNA", at positions 1786 to 1831 of the family's 1831-position model. The record is from RNAcentral.
AAGUCGUAACAAGGUUUCCGUAGGUGAACCUGCGGAAGGAUCAUUAAAGAAUUAGGCUUCGCGGCCAAGUUCUCACCCUUUGUAUACCGAACCAUGUUCGCUUUGGCAUGGCCCCUUGCAGUUUCCUCGGGUCCUGGCCAGCAGGUUGAUUAACCACUAGAAUCUCUGCUGUCUGAGUACUAUGCAAUAGUUAAAA